GGUCGAGUAGCUCAGUUGGUUAGAGCUCUGUCCCCGGAAGGUGGCAGGGACCUGGGUUCAAUUCCCAGCUUGGUCA
Molecule: transfer RNA, 76 nt
Filed under: Collybiopsis luxurians FD-317 M1
Lineage: Eukaryota; Fungi; Basidiomycota; Agaricomycetes; Agaricales; Omphalotaceae
Description: Gymnopus luxurians FD-317 M1 tRNA
Rfam family: tRNA
About the family: Transfer RNA (tRNA) molecules are approximately 80 nucleotides in length.
Source: Rfam by way of RNAcentral